GACGAACGCUGGCAGCGUGCCUAAUACAUGCAAGUCGAGCGAAUGGAUUAAGAGCUUGCUCUUAUGAAGUUAGCGGCGGACGGGUGAGUAACACGUGGGUAACCUGCCCAUAAGACUGGGAUAACUCCGGGAAACCGGGGCUAAUACCGGAUAACAUUUUGAACCGCAUGGUUCGAAAUUGAAAGGCGGCUUCGGCGGUCACUUAUGGAUGGAACCGCGUCGCAUUAGCUAGUUGGUGAGGUAACGGCUCACCAAGGCAACGAUGCGUAGCCGACCUGAGAGGGUGAUCGGCCACACUGGGACUGAGACACGGCCCAGACUCCUACGGGAGGCAGCAGUAGGGAAUCUUCCGCAAUGGACGAAAGUCUGACGGAGCAACGCCGCGUGAGUGAUGAAGGCUUUCGGGUCGUAAAACUCUGUUGUUAGGGAAGAACAAGUGCUAGUUGAAUAAGCUGGCACCUUGACGGUACCUAACCAGAAAGCCACGGCUAACUACGUGCCAGCAGCCGCAGUAA
RNAcentral lists this ribosomal RNA (515 nucleotides) under uncultured bacterium. RNAcentral describes it as "partial 16S ribosomal RNA". It matches the Rfam family "Bacterial small subunit ribosomal RNA", at positions 28 to 523 of the family's 1533-position model. The record is from RNAcentral.